AACCUUACCAGGGCUUAAAUGUAGUCUGACAGGGCUGGAAACAGCUUUUUCUUCGGACAGAUUACAAGGUGCUGCAUGGUUGUCGUCAGCUCGUGCCGUGAGGUGUCAGGUUAAGUCCUAUAACGAGCGCAACCCCUGUGGUUAGUUGCCAGCGAGUAAUGUCGGGAACUCUAGCCAGACUGCCGGUGCAAACCGUGAGGAAGGUGGGGAUGACGUCAAAUCAUCACGGCCCUUACGUCCUGGGCCACACACGUGCUACAAUGGUAGGGACAGAGAGCAGCCACUUCGCGAGAAGGAGCGAAUCUACAAACCCUAUCACAGUUCGGAUCGCAGUCUGCAACUCGACUGCGUGAAGCUGGAAUCGCUAGUAAUCGCAUAUCAGCCAUGAUGCGGUGAAUACGUUCCCGGGCCUUGUACACACCGCCCGUCAAGCCAUGGAAGCCGGGGGUACCUGAAGUCGGUCACCGCAAGGAGCCGCCUAGGGUAAAACUGGUAACUGGGGCUAAGUCGUAACAAGGUAACCGUAAAGGGC
This 532-nucleotide ribosomal RNA is filed under the name uncultured bacterium. RNAcentral's name for it is "bacterial SSU rRNA". It matches the Rfam family "Bacterial small subunit ribosomal RNA", at positions 967 to 1510 of the family's 1533-position model. The record is from RNAcentral.